AUUCCGGUUGAUCCUGCCGGAGGCCAUUGCUCUUGGGGUCCGAUUUAGCCAUGCUAGUCGCACGGGUUCAGACCCGUGGCAAAUAGCUCAGUAGCACGUGGCCAAUCUACCCUCUGGAACGGCAUACCCUCGGGAAACUGAGGUUAAUUCCGUACACCGCUCUCAACCUGGAAUGGUGGGAGCUCGAAACGCUCCGGCGCCGGAGGAUGAGGCUGCGGCCGAUUAGGUUGACGGUGGGGUAAUGGCCCACCGUGCCGAUAAUCGGUCUGGGUCAUGAGAGUGAGAACCCAGAGACGGAUUCUGAGACAAGAUUCCGGGCCCUACGGGGCGCAGCAGGCGCGAAACCUUUACACUGCACGCCAGUGCGAUAAGGGGACCCCAAGUGC
Molecule: ribosomal RNA, 386 nt
Filed under: uncultured haloarchaeon
Lineage: Archaea; Methanobacteriati; Methanobacteriota; Halobacteria; Halobacteriales; Halobacteriaceae
Description: bacterial SSU rRNA
Rfam family: Archaeal small subunit ribosomal RNA
Source: RNAcentral